UGGGGAAUAUUGCACAAUGGGCGCAAGCCUGAUGCAGCAACGCCGCGUGAACGAUGAAGGUCUUCGGAUCGUAAAGUUCUGUUGCAGGGGAAGAUAAUGACGGUACCCUGUGAGGAAGCCCCGGCUAACUACGUGCCAGCAGCCGCGGUAAUACGUAGGGGGCUAGCGUUAUCCGGAUUUACUGGGCGUAAAGGGUUCGCAGGCGGAAUAACAAGUCAGAUGUGAAAGGCAUGGGCUCAACCCAUGUAAGCAUUUGAAACUGUAAUUCUUGAGAAGUGGAGAGGUAAGUGGAAUUCCUAGUGUAGCGGUGAAAUGCGUAGAUAUUAGGAGGAAUACCUGUGGCGAAGGCGACUUACUGGACACAAAUCUGACGCUGAGGAACGAAAGCGUGGGUAGCAAACAGG
Molecule: ribosomal RNA, 404 nt
Filed under: Verrucomicrobiota bacterium
Lineage: Bacteria; Pseudomonadati; Verrucomicrobiota
Description: Verrucomicrobia bacterium partial 16S ribosomal RNA
Rfam family: Bacterial small subunit ribosomal RNA
Source: RNAcentral